RNAcentral lists this ribosomal RNA (370 nucleotides) under uncultured bacterium. Its description in RNAcentral is "bacterial SSU rRNA". It matches the Rfam family "Bacterial small subunit ribosomal RNA", at positions 528 to 896 of the family's 1533-position model. The record is from RNAcentral.
GAGGGGGCGAGCGUUAUUCGGAAUUAUUGGGCGUAAAGGGCGCGUAGGCGGCUGGGCAAGUCCAAGGUGAAAUCCCUCGGCUCAACCGAGGAACUGCCUUGGAAACUGCCCGGCUUGAGGCCGGGAGAGGGUAGUGGAAUUCCCAGUGUAGCGGUGAAAUGCGUAGAUAUUGGGAGGAACACCGGUGGCGAAGGCGGCUACCUGGACCGGCUCUGACGCUGAUGCGCGAAAGCGUGGGGAGCAAACAGGAUUAGAUACCCUGGUAGUCCACGCCCUAAACGAUGGGUACUCGGUGUCGCGGGUAUCGACCCCUGCGGUGCCUUAGCUAACGCGUUAAGUACCCCACCUGGGGAGUACGGUCGCAAGGCUG